This 202-nucleotide long non-coding RNA is filed under the name Elaeis guineensis (African oil palm). RNAcentral's name for it is "long non-coding RNA (EGUI_LNC059791)". Lineage: Eukaryota; Viridiplantae; Streptophyta; Magnoliopsida; Arecales; Arecaceae. The record is from RNAcentral.
AUUGACUUUAGUCCAAGUGAGAAUUAUUGAAAAAUAUAGCCUAAAGCUAAUCAUCUAAGUUAUAGAUAAUUGUGCUUCAUAUAUAUAUAUGAAUUAUAAAAUGAUAAAUGCUAUCUAGCAAGAUUCAUCAUAAGAAAUAUAUCUUUCAAAAUAAAACUCAUAUAUUAUGAUGAAGUCCUUAGAGCUACUUCCAAAACCAUAA